This is a long non-coding RNA of Panicum virgatum (switchgrass), 1154 nucleotides long. RefSeq lists it as uncharacterized. The record is from RefSeq and is a predicted model, not a curated record. NCBI's taxonomy places the organism in Eukaryota, Viridiplantae, Streptophyta, Magnoliopsida, Poales, Poaceae. The transcript has 2 exons.
CACCUUCUACUUUGCCUCUGCUCCGUGCCACGGCCCUCCCCUCCUCCCGCUCGCCGCGCGCCACCGCUUUCUCCUCUCCUCCCACUCGCCGGGCACGCCACCGCGGGCUGUUGGCGCCCGCGCGCCACCGCCUCCUUACUCGUCGCGCGCACGCCACCUCCCCUCCUCCCGCUCGCCACGCUCACGCCACUGCCGCCCGAUGACGGCCGCGCGCCACCGCCCCCACCCUCGCCGUUGCCCGGGCCUCGUGGCACGGCCCUGCCUGGAAUUUCGUGAUGGAGCGGUGCUCGCGCGUGCUCGGGUGGCUGCUCGCCGAGGGACUCGCGGGGAGCUGGCCGCCGGCGCCGACGAGGACGACCGAGCGGUGCAGCGGGUGCCCGCGGCUUGGACCGUCGCGAUGGAGCAGCGCCGAGGUCACCUCCACCGGUGAGCGCCCUAGCUGUCGCCCGAAGACUGGGGAAGGAUCCGGGCCGCCGGCCGCCGGAACGUCCAGGUCUUGGAAGCGCCGGUGCAGCGGGAGUCCAGGCCCUUGCUCCGAUUCCCCUAUCCUCGGCGGCGGGCAGUUGUACUGGUGCCGGGAUCUGCAAAUCUGCAAUCCUGAUGACAGUCAUCGCCGGCAACGUUGCUGAAUACUAAGGAGUAGGAGUCAAGAGAAAUAUUUCAGAGCUAAGCUGGGAAGUGCUGAAGUCAUCAGAAUCAGAGGAAGCUUGCCAGGUGAGCAGAAAACGCUCAGCUGUCUCGUACGCUUAAAGUCGGCCAUGAGCAGCAUGGUCAACCAGCAGGUACGAGGAGCCGGGCAGCUAAGAAGCGAAAGCGAUAACAGAGAGCCCCUCGUUCGAGCCGGACGUCGCAGCUUUUUCUCCGUGUGUGGUUUGGUGAGAUCCUUUUGGUCAAGAUAGAAAGAGAUGUGGCCUUGCGUUCGUUUCAAGUUGUUGUGGCGCUACGGCAGUGAACUGCAUGAUGAGACGGGCUCGGAAAUCUGCUUCAUUCAAACUAGAUGUUCAUGUUCAGAAAUAUUUGGGUCCUUGCUCAAUUUUAUUCUGGUGCACGCCGUCUUAAAAUUUCUGCAACUUGACUAUACAUGCUCUAUGUUGCUGAUAAAAUUUUUGGCAACCAGUAUCUUUAAUCUAUCAAUCUGUCUGCUGCAGUUUUCA